GUGCCAGCGCGCGGUAAUACCGGCAGCCCAAGUGAUGGCCGAUCUUAUUGGGCCUAAAGCGUCCGUAGCUGGCUGCGCAAGUCCGUCGGGAAAUCCACUAGCCCAACGAGUGGGCGUCCGACGGAAACUGCACAGCUUGGGACCGGAAGGCUCGAAGGGUACGUUCGGGGUAGGAGUGAAAUCCCAUAAUCCCGCACGGACCACCGAUGGCGAAAGCACUUCGAGAAAACGGAUCCGACAGUGAGGGACGAAAGCCAGGGUCUCCAACCGGAUUAGAAACCCGGGUAGGUAGUCC
This 295-nucleotide ribosomal RNA is filed under the name uncultured bacterium. RNAcentral's name for it is "partial 16S ribosomal RNA". It matches the Rfam family "Archaeal small subunit ribosomal RNA", at positions 455 to 747 of the family's 1478-position model. The record is from RNAcentral.